UCCACGCCGUAAACGAUGGACACUAGCUGUUGGGGCGCAAGUCUCGGCGGCCAAGCGAAAGUGAUAAGUGUCCCACCUGGGGAGUACGUUCACAAGAAUGAAACCCAAAGGAAUUGACGGGGGCCCGCACAAGCGGUGGAGCAUGUGGUUUAAUUCGAUGAUACGCGAGGAACCUUACCAGGGCUUAAAUGCAGAAUGACAGGUUUAGAGAUAGACUUUUCUUCGGACAUUUUGCAAGGUGCUGCAUGGUUGUCGUCAGCUCGUGCCGUGAGGUGUCAGGUUAAGUCCUAUAACGAGCGCAACCCUUACCGUUAGUUGCCAUCAGGUAAUGCUGGGGACUCUAACGGGACUGCCGGUGCAAACCGUGAGGAAGGUGGGGACGACGUCAAAUCAUCACGGCCCUUACGUCCUGGGCUACACACGUGCUACAAUGGCCGGUACAAUGAGCAGCCACGUCGCAAGGCGGAGCGAAUCUAAAAAACCGGUCACAGUUCGGAUCGGGGUCUGCAACCCGACCCCGUGAAGCUGGAAUCGCUAGUAAUCGGAUAUCAGCCAUGAUCCGGUGAAUACGUUCCCGGGCCUUGUACACACCGCCCAAGC
RNAcentral lists this ribosomal RNA (600 nucleotides) under uncultured bacterium. Its description in RNAcentral is "bacterial SSU rRNA". It matches the Rfam family "Bacterial small subunit ribosomal RNA", at positions 794 to 1402 of the family's 1533-position model. The record is from RNAcentral.